CUUUACUGACGCUAAAGCUCGAAGGUGCGGGUAUCGAACAGGAUUAGAUACCCUGGUAGUCCGCACGGUAAGCGAUGGAUGCCCGCUGUUUGCGAUAUACUGUGAGCGGCCAAGAGAAAUCGUUAAGCAUCCCACCUGGGGAGUACGCCGGCAACGGUGAAACUCAAAGGAAUUGACGGGGGCCCGCACAAGCGGAGGAACAUGUGGUUUAAUUCGAUGAUACGCGAGGAACCUUACCCGGGCUUGAACUGCAGGAGAAGGAUACAGAGAUGUUGACGCCCUUCGGGGCUCCUGUGGAGGUGCUGCAUGGUUGUCGUCAGCUCGUGCCGUGAGGUGUCGGCUUAAGUGCCAUAACGAGCGCAACCCUUUUCAUUAGUUGCCAUCAGGUCAUGCUGGGCACCCUGAUGAUACUGCCACCGUAAGGUGUGAGGAAGGUGGGGAUGACGUCAAAUCAGCACGGCCCUUACGUCCGGGGCUACACACGUGUUACAAUGGGUGGUACAGAGAGUCGGUCGUCUGCAAAUGCGAUCCAAUCCUUAAAGCCAUCCUCAGUUCGGAUUGGGGUCUGCAACCCGACCCCAUGAAGCUGGAUUCGCUAGUA
Molecule: ribosomal RNA, 601 nt
Filed under: uncultured bacterium
Lineage: Bacteria
Description: bacterial SSU rRNA
Rfam family: Bacterial small subunit ribosomal RNA
Source: RNAcentral